GGGACACGUGGUAUCCUGUCUGAAUAUGGGGGGACCAUCCUCCAAGGCUAAAUACUCCUGACUGACCGAUAGUGAACCAGUACCGUGAGGGAAAGGCGAAAAGAACCCCGGCGAGGGGAGUGAAAAAGAACCUGAAACCGUGUACGUACAAGCAGUGGGAGCACGCUUAGGCGUGUGACUGCGUACCUUUUGUAUAAUGGGUCAGCGACUUAUAUUCUGUAGCAAGGUUAACCGAAUAGGGGAGCCGAAGGGAAACCGAGUCUUAACUGGGCGUUAAGUUGCAGGGUAUAGACCCGAAACCCGGUGAUCUAGCCAUGGGCAGGUUGAAGGUUGGGUAACACUAACUGGAGGACCGAACCGACUAAUGUUGAAAAAUUAGCGGAUGACUUGUGGCUGGGGGUGAAAGGCCAAUCAAACCGGGAGAUAGCUGGUUCUCCCCGAAAGCUAUUUAGGUAGCGCCUCGUGAAUUCAUCUCCGGGGGUAGAGCACUGUUUCGGCAAGGGGGUCAUCCCGACUUACCAACCCGAUGCAAACUGCGAAUACCGGAGAAUGUUAUCACGGGAGACACACGGCGGGUGCUAACGUCCGUCGUGAAGAGGGAAACAACCCAGACCGCCAGCUAAGGUCCCAAAGUCAUGGUUAAGUGGGAAACGAUGUGGGAAGGCCCAGACAGCCAGGAUGUUGGCUUAGAAGCAGCCAUCAUUUAAAGAAAGCGUAAUAGCUCACUGGUCGAGUCGGCCUGCGCGGAAGAUGUAACGGGGCUAAACCAUGCACCGAAGCUGCGGCAGCGACGCUUAUGCGUUGUUGGGUAGGGGAGCGUUCUGUAAGCCUGUGAAGGUGUGCUGUGAGGCAUGCUGGAGGUAUCAGAAGUGCGAAUGCUGACAUAAGUAACGAUAAAGCGGGUGAAAAGCCCGCUCGCCGGAAGACCAAGGGUUCCUGUCCAACGUUAAUCGGGGCAGGGUGAGUCGACCCCUAAGGCGAGGCCGAAAGGCGUAGUCGAUGGGAAACAGGUUAAUAUUCCUGUACUUGGUGUUACUGCGAAGGGGGGACGGAGAAGGCUAUGUUGGCCGGGCGACGGUUGUCCCGGUUUAAGCGUGUAGGCUGGUUUUCCAGGCAAAUCCGGAAAAUCAAGGCUGAGGCGUGAUGACGAGGCACUACGGUGCUGAAGCAACAAAUGCCCUGCUUCCAGGAAAAGCCUCUAAGCAUCAGGUAACAUCAAAUCGUACCCCAAACCGACACAGGUGGUCAGGUAGAGAAUACCAAGGCGCUUGAGAGAAC
Molecule: ribosomal RNA, 1278 nt
Filed under: Escherichia coli
Lineage: Bacteria; Pseudomonadati; Pseudomonadota; Gammaproteobacteria; Enterobacterales; Enterobacteriaceae
Description: partial 23S ribosomal RNA
Rfam family: Bacterial large subunit ribosomal RNA
Source: RNAcentral